UAUUAUUAUUAUUAGUAUUUUUCAGUGUGUGCACCAGAUAGGCCCUAAAUUUAUCCUUGACAGUCGACGCUAUCAACAAAAUUUUAACAUCCAUAAAGGAACCCUAGUCGGAGCAGAAUUAAGAAAAUGUGAAUCAUUUUCACAUAAAUGAAGACAAGGCCUUCUCCCAGAUCCCAUUUUGGUGGGAUCAUUCAUAGCUAGGGUUCGGCCUUUCGUUUCUGGUACCACCUUGGUCACGAACAAAAUGCCCAGUGCAUUGACUACAGCAUAAAGAACAAAGUUACCAGCCAUCUGGGAGACUCUGGAAUGAGAAAUAGGCCAAAAAGCAGAAUAGCACAGGGGAUAAGUUCUGCAACCAUUUCAUAUAGUAAGCCUCCUGUUCUAAAAUGAUUUGCUGUGCGUUCUUAUUAGAAGUCUUUUUUGUUUUCCAAAAACUAUGACUAUUGCUAUGCUUACUAUGCUUUUUUGAUGCUUGCAUAUUGGAUAUAAUAGAUCAAGAAAAUUUACCCGUUAAUGCCAGAGCCCUCCAUGUUAGUACUGUCCCUAUUACGUAGAAAAAAGACACCCCACUGCAUAUCAUAAGCUGUAAAAUAAGAUGAAAUUAUUAGAUAUGAUCCUUUUACCUAUGAUCUUCAUUCUUUUUUUUCAUUUCUAUAAUUCAGAAAACUGACUCUAUCCAAUUUUGUUAUAACAUUACCUGAUUUAGAGUUCUUAAGGCUCUACAAAGAUUUUUGGGUGCAAUUUCAACUAUGAAGACAGGUACAUUGGAAUCCAACUCAACAUUGCCAUCGAAGUCAAGAGCAAAUAGCAAUCUAUUUUUAUUAAUUAAAAAAGAUGUCCUAAGAAGUAAAUGCUGCAAGAUAAGAAAAAUGUACCACAUAGGAAAAGACUCCCAUCCUGUAUCCUGUUGCCAGUCUUCCAAUGUCCAAUGCCAAAGCCCCCUUUUGCAUAAAUCAAGACAAAGGUAUGUCACAUCUCUGGAAAACAUUUUUGCUGUUAUUCAGCUGAAUCAAUGAUUUAGAGUAAAUGAAAAGCCAGCCUGCAACACAGAAGGCAGUAGACGCUCUCAUUGCCUGCAUCCAUUCCUUGUGUUCACAAGGUUAUAUAUAUGGUAGAUAUCCAUUGGAAAAAAAAAAAUAUUCAAGGAUUGGUUCCUACUCAAGUAGUGCAGCUCAAUCCCUACAGAUACAUCAGAACAUCACUUUCUUACCCUUUUCCGACCAAUAAAAUCAGCAAUUGGCCCACUUGUGAUUGCACCAAUCAUUGCACCAAAUGUCAAUAUGGAACCAACGAUAGAAUGCUGCAUACAACACAGGCUAUUACAAAUCAGUUUGGAAGUUAUGAUCUCAAGCGUUGGUUUUCUGUAUGUAGGCCUGUUUUUAUUCAAAAUUGUUUGAUCAUUCAUAGACAUCAUAAAUCAUUGCUAAUAGUGAUUACUACCAAUGAUUUAAGUUUUUAGGCCAGACUUGUUGUGAUGAAUUCCAAAUCAUUGCAGUUUUCCAACUUAAUCCUUGAAUUUGAGAAUCACAAGUGCUUUAAUCACUGUAUUUGGGGUUGGCUGAUUGAAAUCUGGUGAGGGAAAGAAGCAUAAAUAGGCCUCAGAAGAGUUGAGCGAUAUGUAAUAGUACUAGAACUCAUUACUCUCAGCGAAGUAAAUGGGCAUUUUCAUAUUGUUCUGCAUCAUAUUGAAAGAUGUUGUUGCAUGAGAUAUUGAGAUCCCCAUGCAAAUUUUCUUAUGCUUAUGACUAUAUUAUUAUCCAAAAUUCUAUAGAAGGAUAGAUGCUUAAUAGAUAAGGGACAAGUCAUUUACAUAACUCUGCCAGAGACAGAGAAAGAUCUUCUGUUAUUGCAUCCUGAGUAGGUGAGGAAUAGCCUACCUGAAAAUAAACAGUAAAUUAGAGCAUAACAUUGCAGGACCAAAUUCGAUUCCUAAGCUUAUUCUGAAUAUGCAAGUUCCUGAAACUACUUUCCAAAAGAAAUGAGGUACUAACACAGCAUCCAAAUUCAAAAGAACCACACACAGCUACCAACGUGGUGAAGUAAACCAUCCAUUCUCUCUGUUUGUUGCUAUUCUGUUCUCUAGAUCCAUCCUCCUCAUCUGCUAGAUUCUUCCCAAUGAGUGGCUCUCUCAUUUCUUUGUGCACUCCAUUGUUAGCAUUAUCAUUACCAUUUUCUAUGUCCUCUUUGAUGCCCAUGCCUUUCUCAAUUUAAAUUCCACUAAGUUUAUCUUUAUAUGGUUGGGAAAGAGAACAAGUCUGAAGAAAUGCUUUUAAGGUCACAGAAGAUAUGGAAAAAUGGAAGGAAGAAAAUCUUUUACAAAGUAUGGAUGGAAACCACCUAACGUCAAUUUGUACUUUCUGUCCAUGUAAUGAGUUAUUGACUUGUCUUUUGCAUGCAUGUUAAUUGAAAAGGUUGAGUUGUUCUUGACUUUCAAGUGUACACGUCAGAGGAUAUAUUCUCUUCUUCUUCUUCUUCUCUCUUGCUGUCUCUCUCUUUCUCUUUAAAAUAAGGGUAAGGAAAUAGAAUUUGAAUAAGAAUAAGAAUGAGAAAAAUUAGAAAUAAUUGAUUGAGAUAGAAUUAUAAAAAAAAAAAAAAAAGUGAUCCUGAACUAUCACCUAGAUUGUGGUGUUCCAGUGGGAUCAUCUCAUGAAUAUUUAAAUGAACAAUAAAACUGAGUAGGAGUAGCUGUUUUUUUUUUCUUUUUUGCUUUUUUUCUUUUUUUCUUGUUCACCCUGAACUCAAUUCCAAGCUUUGCAACUUGCAUUAUCCGUUGUUGAUAUCACUUAAGUGGCUAUUUUUGCUUGAAAAUAAUUCAAUACUCUUUUGCUCAUUUUUACCCUGAAGAUGGGAGAUUUAGCUACCAUUCUUCAACUACCUGACCAAUGCAAAAUUUUGAUUGACAUAUAAUCAAAUUGAGCUUAUUUCUUUCUAAAUCUGAAGGGACAAAGAAAAAAACACAGCAAGAUUGUGUAAUUCAGAGACAUGUUAAGCACAGUAGAUCAAGAUUCAAAGCUAAUCUUGUUUUUGGCUGAUAGUUUCAAUAUUACCUAGAUUCUACAGCUAAUGAUGCUUUGAUCUUCGGCUUUAGUUGUUUUCCCACAUGGAAUCUGCAUAUCGCAUGUGCUGGGAUGGGAGUCACUGUUAUUGAAGGAAAAAUAACAUGGUACUGGCAUCAUCAAGCCACCAAUUUCCAAUUUUAUUGUGGAGGUGUUGGCUGAAUGGGACAGCUUCUGUUUUUGUUCUAAAUUAUUUGGUCUUUAGUGCCGUUUUGUUCUUCAAUAGUGCUUGAGUUUGUGGCUCAAUGGGCAUUGCAACUUGCAACUCAAGAUGAAUAUGGAUGGAGGAGCUUGCAUGAACUCUGUCCCUUCAGAUCUUUUUUCAGAAAAUGACAAGUGGUUAAUCGAUGUUCCAGGUCUACAGAAGGAUAUAGCUAAAAAUUAAAGCUGAAGUUCAAGUGUUUUACAAGUUAUAACUUGUCUCUCUCUACCCAGUAGGGAGAAAACUGUUGCUCUUUUUUUCUUUCUUCAUCUGAGGUGCUUGGUCUCUAUUGACUGCCGUUUAGCGGUUCCCUCUGCUACAAUUUAUAACUUGUCUCUCUCUACGCAGUUACAAGUUAUAGACAAAAUUUUUACAUGACCUUUCUUUUAGAUGUAGCCAUUAUUCUCAGCUAAAGUUUGUUCUUCAUUCCAUGCC
Long non-coding RNA from Hevea brasiliensis (rubber tree), 3693 nucleotides. RefSeq lists it as uncharacterized. The record is from RefSeq and is a predicted model, not a curated record. The transcript is spliced from 3 exons. Lineage: Eukaryota; Viridiplantae; Streptophyta; Magnoliopsida; Malpighiales; Euphorbiaceae.